Molecule: ribosomal RNA, 505 nt
Filed under: uncultured Glomeraceae
Lineage: Eukaryota; Fungi; Glomeromycota; Glomeromycetes; Glomerales; Glomeraceae
Description: SSU rRNA
Rfam family: Eukaryotic small subunit ribosomal RNA
Source: RNAcentral
CGCAGCCGCGGUAAUUCCAGCUCCAAUAGCGUAUAUUAAAGUUGCUGCAGUUAAAAAGCUCGUAGUUGAAUUUCGGGACCAAUAUGCCGGUCGUGCCUCGGUACGUACUGGCAUCGUUGGUUUCUCCCUUCUGACGAACCAUGAUGUCAUUUAUUUGGUGUCGUGGGGAAUCGGGACUGUUACUUUGAAAAAUUAGAGUGUUUAAAGCAGGCUCACGCUUGAAUACAUUAGCAUGGAAUAAUGAAAUAGGACGUUUGAUUCUAUUUUGUUGGUUUCUAGGAUCGACGUAAUGAUUAAUAGGGAUAGUUGGGGGCAUUAGUAUUCAAUUGUCAGAGGUGAAAUUCUUGGAUUUAUUGAAGACUAACUACUGCGAAAGCAUUUGCCAAGGAUGUUUUCAUUAAUCAAGAACGAAAGUUAGGGGAUCGAAGACGAUCAGAUACCGUCGUAGUCUUAACCAUAAACUAUGCCGACUAGGGAUCGGAUGAUGUUAAUUUUUAAUGACUCA